GUGUCUGUAGCCUAGUGGUAAAAGGCAGCACUCUAGAUGCUGAGGUUGUGGGUUUGAAUCCCACUAGACACA
RNAcentral lists this transfer RNA (72 nucleotides) under Cronartium ribicola 11-2. RNAcentral's name for it is "tRNA-Sup (CTA) (tRNA-Sup-CTA-63-1)". It matches the Rfam family "tRNA". From Rfam's summary of the family: Transfer RNA (tRNA) molecules are approximately 80 nucleotides in length. Their secondary structure includes four short double-helical elements and three loops (D, anti-codon, and T loops). Lineage: Eukaryota; Fungi; Basidiomycota; Pucciniomycetes; Pucciniales; Coleosporiaceae. The record is from RNAcentral.